UCGAAUAAAAUUGAAGUUUUAGUUAAUGUUUGAUAGCUGGCAGAUUAGAACUGUCAACUUGUGCGAAUUUUUAGAGGGUCUUAACGACUUCAUUUGGGAAAACUUCCUUCAUGAGAGUUGUAGCCCUUUAAGUCUAGAAAAUUCUCGAAGUGGAAUCAGGUCAUUCCGACCUCUGUAGCUCGAGAUAUCAUCGGUUUAGUGACGAUGGUCCUGGCUGUACAGUACCAGCGGAUUUAAUUGAUGUGUUUCCUUUCAAUUCCGAGUGUGAUCGUGAUAUUACUAAAAAGGACUGAGGUUUUUGAUUAGUUUCAGUUCUGAGUAAGUUCUUAAGUGAUGGGGUCAAGGGUUUUGACUUGGGUUGGGCUUGAAAGAAAACAAACCCUAGCCCAAGAGAGGGGACGCAGGCUAUGAAGGGUCUUGGGAGGGAAAGGGUUUCUUUUCACACUAUUCUGAAGAAAGAAACCUUGAACACUUCUGAAACACGUAAAACAGAGGAGAAAGAGUGAGAGAAACUUUCCCCUUGCACCCUAGCCGUCACCGUCCCAAGCCCUACCACCGUCGACGUGUUCGCGCAAGAGAGAGGAGGAGUUUGCGAGCGAGAGGGAGAGAGGAAGGGUUACGCGUGGGAGAAGAGGAGAGAAACCAGAACCUUGCUCUUCAAUUUCAUCUUUUCUUCAAGCCUAAGGACAAAGAUGGUCGUGAAGAUAAUGGCGAUGACACAUUCUUGGGAGUUGAUGCUACGUGACGUGCCAAUACCGGAGGACGACUACACUUUAGAGGAAGAGGAAGAGGCUAAGGAAUAGGGUUUGGGUUGAGAGUCUUUUGUUUUCUGUUGGGGUUGAGAGUUUCCGAAGUGUUGGUAUCGAACAAUUUUAUUGCUUAAAUUCGAAUGAACAAGUUUUGAUGUAA
Long non-coding RNA from Lotus japonicus, 909 nucleotides. RefSeq lists it as uncharacterized. Lineage: Eukaryota; Viridiplantae; Streptophyta; Magnoliopsida; Fabales; Fabaceae. The transcript has 2 exons. The record is from RefSeq and is a predicted model, not a curated record.